This 253-nucleotide ribosomal RNA is filed under the name uncultured bacterium. Its description in RNAcentral is "partial 16S ribosomal RNA". It matches the Rfam family "Bacterial small subunit ribosomal RNA", at positions 524 to 776 of the family's 1533-position model. The record is from RNAcentral.
UACGAAGGGGGCUAGCGUUGCUCGGAAUCACUGGGCGUAAAGGGUGCGUAGGCGGGUCUUUAAGUCAGGGGUGAAAUCCUGGGGCUCAACUCCAGAACUGCCUUUGAUACUGAAGAUCUUGAGUUCGGGAGAGGUGAGUGGAACUGCGAGUGUAGAGGUGAAAUUCGUAGAUAUUCGCAAGAACACCAGUGGCGAAGGCGGCGACCUGGGCCAAUACUGACGCUGAGGUGCGAAAGCGUGGGGAGCAAACAGG